CGAAGGUAGCAUAAUCAGUAGUCUUUUAAUUGAAGGCUUGUAUGAAUGGUUGGACGAAAUAUUAACUGUUUCAUUUAAAAUUUUUAUAGAAUUUUAUUUUUUAGUCAAAAAGCUAAAAUAUAAUUAAAAGACGAGAAGACCCUAUAAAUCUUGAUAUUUAUAAUAAUUUUAAUUAUAAAGAUUUUUUAGAUUAUAAUUGUUAAAAAUAUUUUAUUGGGGUGAUAUUAAAAUUUAAAAAACUUUUAAUUUUGAAUUUACAUUAAUUUAUGAAUUUAUGAUCCAUUAAUAAUGAUUAAAAAUUUAAGUUACUUUAGGGAUAACAGCGUAAUUUUUUUGGAGAGUUCAUAUUGAUAAAAAAGAUUGCGACCUCGAUGUUGGAUUA
RNAcentral lists this ribosomal RNA (382 nucleotides) under Platypeza inornata. RNAcentral's name for it is "partial 16S ribosomal RNA". The record is from RNAcentral. Lineage: Eukaryota; Metazoa; Arthropoda; Insecta; Diptera; Platypezidae.